AUGUCAGAGGAAAUGAAGGAUAAAUUUGAGAAGUAUUGGAAAGAUAUACAUGGUCUUAUGGCAGUUGCAACAGUUUUUGAUCCAAGGUACAAACUUCAUAUUCUCAAUGCUCUGUAUGGUCCUCUGUACGGUAGACAUCAUGCAUCCAAAGAAAUAGGGAAAGUGAGGGGGUUAAUGUUUGACUUGGUAAAGCAAUACUAAGAUAAAGCAGAAUGUGAGGAUACAUGGGAUGCUUCUGCUACUUCAAUCCCAUCUGGAGAAGAGGAUGAAGCCAUGAAACUCUUGGAUCUUUAUAUGUCCAAUCGUGUUGUUACACCUUCUUCUUCUUCUUCGUCCCAUACAGAAUUGGAAUUGUAUUUGGAAGAAGCUCCUCUGCCUAGAACACAAGACCUGGACAUCAUUGAUUGGUGGAAGGUUGGGGGCUUCAAGUAUCCUACCUUACAAAAACUUGCUCGUGAUAUAUUGCCUAUUCCUAUAACAUCCGUUGCUUCAGAAUGUGCAUUCAGUACUAGUGGUAGAGCUCUUAGUGCACACCAUAGUAGACUUACUCCUAAUGUGGCUGAAUCUCUCAUGUGCAUGCAAGCUUGGUCUCGUGCUAAUUUAUUAGGUACUCAAUGUUUGAACUUGCAUCUUAUUCUUAUUUUCGAAAUACCUUGCUGUUUACAUACUAAUUGUUGGUUAUUUCAUUAG
This 690-nucleotide ribosomal RNA is filed under the name Triticum aestivum (bread wheat). RNAcentral describes it as "partial small subunit ribosomal RNA". Lineage: Eukaryota; Viridiplantae; Streptophyta; Magnoliopsida; Poales; Poaceae. The record is from RNAcentral.